Non-coding RNA from Lamprotornis superbus, 74 nucleotides. The record is from the annotation of a GenBank genome assembly. Lineage: Eukaryota; Metazoa; Chordata; Aves; Passeriformes; Sturnidae.
CUCUGAUUGGCUUCAUUGGUUAGAACAGGGUGCUAAUAACACCAAGAUUGUGGGUUUGAUUCCCUUAUAGGCCA